UGGGAUAUAGCCAAGCGGUAAGGCAAGGGACUUUGACUCCCUCAUGCGCAAGUUCGAAUCUUGCUAUCCCAA
RNAcentral lists this transfer RNA (72 nucleotides) under Streptococcaceae bacterium. RNAcentral's name for it is "tRNA-Gln". It matches the Rfam family "tRNA". Rfam says of the family: Transfer RNA (tRNA) molecules are approximately 80 nucleotides in length. Their secondary structure includes four short double-helical elements and three loops (D, anti-codon, and T loops). The record is from RNAcentral. Lineage: Bacteria; Bacillati; Bacillota; Bacilli; Lactobacillales; Streptococcaceae.